RNAcentral lists this long non-coding RNA (4313 nucleotides) under Daphnia pulex (common water flea). RNAcentral's name for it is "uncharacterized LOC124192794". Lineage: Eukaryota; Metazoa; Arthropoda; Branchiopoda; Diplostraca; Daphniidae. The record is from RNAcentral.
GCAGGGCCAAGCAUUGUACUUCCGUAAAAAAUCCCUGCCAUAUUAUUUACAAGUUAUUAGAUAUUACGCAAUAUGGGACUCAGUGUUGGAAUUUAGGAAAUCUUAAUCACCGCUGUAGAUCGGCUGCAUUUUGUGACUGACCUAAAGCUGUUCCGAGCGUGUAUAACGGAGCUCCACCUGCACCCAUGAUGAGUUGCGCUACUAGAAACACGUACUUGAACUUUUGCAACGCCCAUCCACCCGUUAGACCUGCUGUUAAUUGAUCUGAUGUCGAGCAACUGGCGUUCAUCGACGGAACGGAUAGUGAGCAGGUAUUGAUGACUUGUUCCUUCACGGAAGCCUGCGUAUGCAACAAGUGGUAAGUCCAAAUUCGUAUCUUUUGGCAAUUUUUUUGCGGGAAAAACCUGGUAGAGCCCAGAUGUUAAGUGGGGUGUAGCAAAGACGAACGACCCUAUUCCUAAUAGUAACACACCAUAGCCGACCCAAUGAGGCUUGCACGCUCCUUUGCGACCUCCUAGAUAGGACACUGGUAGAACCUAAAGGUGAUUUUAUAACUAAGCGUUUAAAACAACAGCAACUUGUCUUGUGUUUGAACUUGCUGUUAAAAAUGACGCGAUGUCGUAGCAUCCUAUAAUCAUCCCACUGUCCGUUGAAGUGAGGUCGUACCGCCGCUAAACAUAAAAGGAAACUGUCUUUGAACUUGUGAUACAGCGAGAUUGAACUCAUUACAACCAUUUACCUCUAUCGUGCUGACGCAAACGUUGAGAAGACCAUUGAUCAAAAAACCUGUUUGAAAAGUAAUCCGUACACUUAGAGUAAAUGUGUCACACAGCAGUAGAAGGUUAUUUUAUAAUUGCGGUUCAACGGUCCAAAUAUUUCAAGGACUUUAAAUAUUUAUACUGCGUCGACCGAGGAUUCCUCUAAAAUUAGAAAUUUGGAAGCUGUUUGUUUUUGCUUGACUACCGAAGCACAUCCAUCUUUGAAGUCGUUGUUUAUUUUGGAAAAGAACAGACGAAUAGGCAAUUCAUCACUACUUUCCCAAAAGAUAACAUUUCACCUCGUUCCUUUUCAACUUUUAACGGCAAGGGUGGAAAACUAGGAAAGGCUACACUACGGUACACGAAGUUGUUAUUUGAUUUAGCGGACUUACUUUGAAAUCCUCCGGCCCAGCAGAUCCAGAAUAAAAACGACUUGGAUGUAGAUAGCCGCUGUAAGAAUUUGGGUUUCCAGCAAUACCAUCCACAUUGUCCUCCGCCGUCGUCGAAAUCCGCAGUCGACGCUGGAUCCGAGGAUUUGGCAUUGGUGACGGUAUUUGCCAUUUCCAUGGUUCCUGCCAACUCCUCGUUCACUGCAGAAUCGUGAGCCACCGUUUUGUCCAAGGUGCGAAAGAGAGAUGACUAGUGUGCAGAGGGAAAGUGGCCACGUACUAAGCCUCACGCAAAUUCGUCACGAAAUGAGCAGACGAGUUUGAUUCGGCAGUGUGGGUCUCCCCAAAAGUGAGAGUAUAACUUGCGACUUGCUCAGCAACUACCACCAGCAGUACUGCCGACCUACUUGCUACUUUCUCCUUCCAUUUUACGUUCGCACAGUUUUCACUCACGAACACAAUCAGGGCGAGACAGCAGAGGGCAAUUGUCGUUGGCGGAAUGAGAAGAUUUCUUUUUCAAGUCUGCAACCUCCUUGCUUAUUCCGACAACAACAACAUGGGACUUGGUGGGGAAGCACGAUCGGCUGUGCCACACAAAAGGAAUCGUCAAAGCUCAAGAACAGAUGGACAAAGUCUACACUAUACAGUCUAAUAAUGAUCUAUGCUAGAGUAAAAAACUGGUUGUGGUUGUCCUGCCAUGCAACAGGUAGUGAAGUUAAAAAAAAAAAAAGUGAGGCUUUUCCAUUUCACAAUCGCUACACGACAUACCCACGUCGUCGCCCAGGAGGGGCGGGCCUAAAAAAAGAAUCUCCCUCCCAAAAGAGAAGGGCCCGUGACGUCGUGGUGCAAUUCCCUUAUUCACGUUGCGUGAUUGAUUUUAAGGUAGUCUGCGAAACACGCAGGCGCACUACGCACACACAUUCACUCAGCCCUAACUCAUUUUUUGCAACUCAACCACAUCAUCACAGCCAUCAUUAAAGGCGUCGUCGCGUUGACCAACUUAGAGGGGGGAAACAAGGAAUUAAUAAGGCACGUAUCAUUCACGACGAGUAUAGGCCCGAAACCGGAAUUAUCAGAAUACUAUAUAAUCAUAUUGUCGCACACGUAUACGAAAAGGUAGGUCGAUCACGUCAAGGAUUCGAAUUCCACUGUUUAUCCGCCAGAAUGGAAGUUAUCCAUUAUACCUGCGACUGGAACAUCUUUCCGUCAGUUCGAGGAAGAGUGGGGGGAAAGGUUCGUGAAGGCCACGUUUGCUGUUUAAAGUGUUGUCGACUGUUAUUGUCCUCGUUAGCUAUAAAGUAUGCGUAGGUUGUUCAAAUUUCCUAGACAGGUAGCCCAGUUAGAAAGUACUCAAUUUUGCAAUAGAUUAAUCAGCUGAUAAUUUCAAUGUAUUCUUCAUUAAAAAUUGUUGACAGCAGUUUCUUCCUAAUCCCAGAAAAAAAUAACAGUAACUUUUGCUUUGCAACGGACGUAAAGUGAUUUUCUGUAUAGAUCUAGAGUCCUAAAACCAAAUUAAUGCUUCCCUUACACAUAAACAAACAAAAACAAUAAAUUCCUUCGCGAUCGGUUUAAAUGGUGCUAGUUUUGAUCCUUCUAAAUAGCACUUAUAAGACUGUAUGGCUGAGUUAGGCAAGAAUCAAGGCUCAAAAUGAAUAGUCUUGAUUUUAACAAGUUGACGGGCAGUUUUCCGCCAUCCUAAUGGUUUCCGGAAUUGAAGAUUGGGUCUUGGUGCGGGGAUGGUCCAACAACGACGGACACUCGAUAGUCCCAUUUUGAAUACUAUCCAUUUUAGUCAGCAAAUCAUAGUUGAUCCUUUCACUUACUACGGAGUCGCCCCUGUUUUGUUUUUUAAAUUGCGAAUAAUUAAACAUACAAAAAAAAAAGGGAAAUAUUUCAACAUACUUGUAGUCUGGGUGCUUGGUGACGAAUUCACGAAUCCAAUGAGCUGUCGUCAUCAAAUCACCACUUGCUCGUUUUUGGAUAAGCCGCAAGUAUUGAUGUAUUGUGCAAUGGGUAUCGGCAUCUACUUCAACAGUCGAGAGGUAGCUGCUAAUGAGGGGUAAUAGGCCUUGGAACUCUUCGCCCUAAGAAAAAUAGAUAGAUGAUUAAGCAAAAAUUGUAAUGAAAAGAAGAUGAGGUAGAGCCACUCGAGCUGAAAUUAAAGAAACCUACCUUUCCAUUGAUUAUUUCGCCAAUUGUCAUCUCUACGCAAAUUUGUUCUUGGUCGGCUGUUGAUUCAGCAUCGGUAGGCGAGCUCUGCGACACUAGAUCCUUGCGGAACCAGAAUUUUUGAUUGAGAAUGGCAUCGCGCUUCUGGGCUCUUUUCAUGUUUUCGUCAACUUUACUAAUUGGAAUGAGGAAGUUUAGCCCGUAGGUUACAAUGACGCGAGUUAACAGGACAAUGAAGCAAACAUAUGCAGCAUUCUCGAAGUCGGUUAUUUGUGCUUCACAGGGUCGGAAUUCAACGCGCCAACCAAUGGUGCUCUUUGGCGGCGGGGGCUUGAACCGCAUGGUUUGCCAAUUGGUUGAUUGAAGAUUCUGAAAAUGUUCCCAGAAAAUCAUUAGUAAAUAAUCGAACGACCAAGCUCUUUUAUAGCAUGUACCUCAAAGUGAUCCGAAUCUUCCUCAUCAUUUUGGUUCACUUUUUCACUGAAGAGGGAAACGGGAUCACGAAUGAAGAGAUGGGCAACGUGUUGAGCAAGUAAAUGAUCGAUUCCAGCGUCACGCAUUCUCUUGUAAGCCUCUUGAUCUAUGACCAGGGGUAUGUCGUUGUAUCUUUAACAGAAAUUUGAUUAUCACAAUUUGAAAUAAUAUGAAUGCGUCUAUGAUAAAUAUACCUUUCUCCUUCAGGAGACAAAUACGAAUCGAUUGAAUCAUAUCGUGAUUUGUAGAUACGGUAUCUGUCUGUCUUUAGCGGCUCUAGACCCCUUUCCUCUCUCGUGCGGCAGUCCACCGAACUGGAAAUAAUAUUCCAGCGACAAUCUGUGUCGGCGAUAUAGCCACGCUGAAGUGGCGAAGCGGCAGUAAGAGCCAACAUAAUUGGACACAUUGGUGUCAGUUGAUCGUAAAGUGUACGAGCUUCUUUGAUAUUGCAGGCUUGAAAAGUCAACUGCAGACAACACUGGCCCAUUCCAAAACCCAUUGCAUCCAUGUAUAUAUGGUCUGG